RNAcentral lists this long non-coding RNA (331 nucleotides) under Gossypium raimondii (Peruvian cotton). RNAcentral describes it as "long non-coding RNA (GRAI_LNC007480)". Lineage: Eukaryota; Viridiplantae; Streptophyta; Magnoliopsida; Malvales; Malvaceae. The record is from RNAcentral.
UUAUCUCUUAUGUGAACCCUUGAGGCCCAAAAUACAUAUUAGAAAUAAAUCGGGACUAAACUGGGUGUAAUAACCCAAAUUUGCCCGGCCCAAAUCGAAAGUAAGUAAACAAAAAUAUAAAAUAAAAUAAAAUAAAAAAAUAAUCCAUUUUAAAUGUCCAUUUACAGACUCUAGGCCCAAUACAGAUUAACCCAACCCUAAUUCAGCCUAAAAUACCCAAAACCCCAGCCCCAAUACACUAUGGCCCGAUUUGAAUAAUUUUCAGAAACCCCUAGGGUUUCCAGAAUGCCUCCAACGCCGCAACAGUAGCCUCCAGCACGCUGCUCUUCCC